AAGUAAAAAAUCUAUAGUAUAGUCAGAUUUUAUUCAUGGCAGAAAGUGUGUGUCUUAUCAUAGUAAAACUAUAUCCCAAGAUAAACUUAAAACUUAUAGUCUAUCGGCCAAUCUCAGACAUCAGAAUCGACAGUAUGGCGUCUGUCUGUUGUAUAGCUUACUAGAGAUAGAAUUUUGUUUCUGUAUGUUGUUAAUGUCAUAAUCCUAUCGCUACUAAGCAAAACAUUAGAUACAUCGAAUAUGGGUAUAGGCCACAUGCGCGUACCUGUGCUCUGAAUUUAGUUGGGAGCCGACAAUUUGGCGGGAAAUGUACCUACUUCAAUACCAUAGAGCAAACAAAAUGACGACACAACUAUAGCUAAGCUAAAUGCUCAUGAUUUAAAAACGUACAAAAUGCUAUAAGGACGAAUACA
Molecule: long non-coding RNA, 413 nt
Organism: Helicoverpa zea (corn earworm)
Lineage: Eukaryota; Metazoa; Arthropoda; Insecta; Lepidoptera; Noctuidae
Exons: 2
Source: RefSeq, a predicted model, not a curated record